RNAcentral lists this long non-coding RNA (233 nucleotides) under Capsicum annuum. RNAcentral describes it as "long non-coding RNA (CANN_LNC009116)". Lineage: Eukaryota; Viridiplantae; Streptophyta; Magnoliopsida; Solanales; Solanaceae. The record is from RNAcentral.
CACACACUUCUAUAGUGUUGUUUAGGAAAAAGAAAAGAGCAAUUAGAGGCAUACUCUCCGAUCAAAAAUCAAAAGAAAUUGCAAUUCCUCCCUCUCCAAAAGCUGUUAAAGUUUAGGGGCCAGUCCAGAAGGUGGACAUAUACACGGAACUUGGCGCCAAAGAGAAGAUGGAUCUGCGACAGGCCAAGAAUUCCAAGCCAGACGUACCAGAUUACCCCAGGCCUCUCUUCCCC